Molecule: long non-coding RNA, 1367 nt
Organism: Ailuropoda melanoleuca (giant panda)
Lineage: Eukaryota; Metazoa; Chordata; Mammalia; Carnivora; Ursidae
Exons: 3
Source: RefSeq, a predicted model, not a curated record
GUCCGGGUGUGUGGGGGGACAGGGAGGGACCCAGAGGCUCGCGGCGCGUCCCGGGGACGCUGGCAAGUCGUCUUGGCUGCCCCCUGGGGGAGACACGGGGUGCCCCGGGACAGUGCUCACCGGUCUGGGUGAUGGGGAUAACGGGGACGGGUCGCGGCCGGGGAGGGGCUCACCGCCCCUUGAGACGCUUCGCAGGGUGCCCGGCAGCCCACUUCCCCUGGUCGGCUGGUCGCCGUAGGCAGAUGGCAGACAAGGGAAUCUAGAAAUCCGGAUUCGUGGCUGCGGUGACAGCGUGAAGUACCCGCAGAGUCCUGGGAAUCCAGCCCUUCCCAGUGGGUAACUACAACGGAUGGGACCUUGUGCGCAACAGAGGCGCAGACCUGAGGCCGGCGACAUAUCCGCCUCUGGCUCCCAGCUGUAUUACCCAGAAGCCUCACCGGCAGGCCCACGGCCCCAACUGUGAGAAGGAAAUGUGGUACAUCUUCCUCAGACGCAGCCGUGAAAUAAGGUGGCCUCUACUGAUGGGAGCAACUUGGAUGAUCUACAAUUGUACUGUCGAAGGAACAUUUUGAGCAAUACUGUACAUGACUUGUCAAUUCCGAAAUCGACAGGAUGCAGUGUUAACUAAUCUGCUAAACUAAGCCCAACCGUGAAUGUGCCUUUCUCUCUCCUUGGACAUUGGAUGGGACUGCCAAUGAGUGUCUCCCAAAGGGAAGUGAUUCAAGACAAAGACCCAUUGUGCCACUAGGAUAUGUGGGGAAUACCAACUAUGCUUGUUACAGAAUGUGCAUGGCUGGUGUUGGCCGGCCCUCCUGAUGCCCACAGGAGGAUCCAGAAGCAAUCUCCUAAGCUUUCCAUGACAUUCAAUUGACAAGGCACUUUGACACCCAUCAUUAGGGGGCUGCCCCAAGGCAGCUGUGUUCCUACCUAGUUGGUGCCCAGGAACAGCCACUCUCCUUGUAUUUGACUCUCUUUGAAGUGUAUUUCUCAUAGACAUGUACUUUGAACAUGCAUUUUCCUCCUGUGUCUACCUCGGUCUUAUUUGAGAAAUCCAAAUUAUUAUCCUACCUGCCUCUUCCUUUGUGAUUCACAUUCACAGCAGAAUUUCAUUUUGUCCUUCAGUUGUGUGGCUUGCCUUAAAGCACAGAUAGAGCUUCAAAUUGUUUAUUCCUUAAAAAAAUUUCAGAAGUGACCUGGCACUUAGCCAGCUCCAGCUAGUCUCUGAGUUUGGCUUUGUGUCCAUAAGCCGCAGUUGAGAGAAACGCACGAAAUGCCCAAACAGAAUAAAACAAAUGAUCUAUUUAGUCUCGUUUCCUCUCUUGGAAGAGAUCCAGUGUUGAGUGCUUUGGAAGAAGAUGAAAAUCCCC